This 167-nucleotide ribosomal RNA is filed under the name uncultured bacterium. RNAcentral's name for it is "partial 16S ribosomal RNA". It matches the Rfam family "Bacterial small subunit ribosomal RNA", at positions 352 to 511 of the family's 1533-position model. The record is from RNAcentral.
CAGUAGGGAAUCUUCCACAAUGGACGAAAGUCUGAUGGAGCAACGCCGCGUGAGUGAAGAAGGGUUUCGGCUCGUAAAACUCUGUUGUUAAAGAAGAACAUAUCUGAGAGUAACUGUUCAGGUAUUGACGGUAUUUAACCAGAAAGCCACGGCUAACUACGCGCCAG